This 139-nucleotide small nucleolar RNA is filed under the name Notamacropus eugenii (tammar wallaby). Its description in RNAcentral is "Small nucleolar RNA SNORA51 (ENSMEUG00000017627.1)". It matches the Rfam family "Small nucleolar RNA SNORA51". Rfam says of the family: ACA51 is a member of the H/ACA class of snoRNA that guide the sites of modification of uridines to pseudouridines. The record is from RNAcentral. Lineage: Eukaryota; Metazoa; Chordata; Mammalia; Diprotodontia; Macropodidae.
CACCUCCUGUUGCUUACCACAGACUGUGUUGUACUUUGCACAGACUGUAUAGAAAAAGGAGGCAGAGAGAUCUUCCUCUUAUACACCUCAGCCAGGAGCUUGCCUGUGCUCUAGCUGUAUUGUGAAAGGGGAGACAGUA